AUUCAGCUGACGAGUCUUGAAUAGGAUGAAACGUAUGUCCUGAAU
This 45-nucleotide non-coding RNA is filed under the name Schistosoma mattheei. The record is from RNAcentral. Lineage: Eukaryota; Metazoa; Platyhelminthes; Trematoda; Strigeidida; Schistosomatidae.